Long non-coding RNA from Asparagus officinalis (garden asparagus), 1132 nucleotides. RefSeq lists it as uncharacterized. The record is from RefSeq and is a predicted model, not a curated record. NCBI's taxonomy places the organism in Eukaryota, Viridiplantae, Streptophyta, Magnoliopsida, Asparagales, Asparagaceae. The transcript is spliced from 2 exons.
GUUUAAUUAAAAUUCCUUGAUAGCAAAAGGACAUGUAUAUUUGGAGCUGACAGUGGAUUUUUGCGCACUAGUUAUAAUGAAGUUUAAUGAAAAUUCCUUGAUAUCAGAAGGACAUGUAGCGUGAAUAAUCCUAACCAUAAAGACAAUUCUAUGUGAGUGAUCAUGUGGAUUUCAACUUGCCAAAGAUCAAAAAAGAUUGCAUGUAAGAAAAAGAAAACAUUAAAAUCCAAUUUCGGUUAACAUCAGGAAAAAGGGAACAAAUUUCACAAAAGAUGGAAUCAUUGUCAUUUACAUUAAGAUUUUAUUAGAGCUCAUUAUGUAAUUUGAGAAAUUAUUCAGGCAGUGCAUUGAAGAAUUCGCGAAGCUAUUAUGUCAUGGGUUUCCACACACGAAACAAAAGAAACAUAAUAACAUAAACUUAAAUAAAAAAAAUGCAGGAGUACAGUAGGUUCAUUGCGUGUAAAACUUUAACCAAUAUUUACAACUAGAUUACAAUUACUAAAGAAGCUUUAAUUCUUUCCAUCAACUAAUGAACAAUGAAAUUGAAGUGCUAAGAAGAGUCGAGGAAAAGGUAUUGUUUUAUGCAUCUGGUUUGCUGAUUCAGUAUUUCUUGUUUGGUUGAUUGCUAAGUACUUCUUGUUGGCUUUCUUAUUGUUUUAUAUAUUUUGAGAAUAUGAUGAUGUUGAAAUGGUAUUAUAAAUCGCAGAAACCUGUUACUGUUAUAUGUUUUGCUACGACCGCUUGAGGGGUCAAGGAAUCCAACAGAAUGUUUAGAGUUGUUGAAUUGUCUGAUCAGUGAAUUAGAUCCCCCGACGAUGACAUGGAGGGAUUACUUCUUUAGAUCUGUCUAUUUUUAGAAAUAUUUGAUCUUUGAAUUGGAAAAGUAUAAAAAUAAGGACUUACUGUGGGGUUUUAUUCUGUGCUGUUGUGCCUACGGGAUUAGCUACCGCCUUGGAUGUAAACCUGAGCAAUGAGUCCCUUGUUUUCAUAUCGGUUACAUUUGCGACAAUGGCCUAUGGCAUGGCUGCUAACAGGAGAUCUUUAUGCUUCAAACGACCAAGGUGCCAUGUGUACUCAUCCUCUCUGAGAGCUUCAAACUGAGCUGCUAUCUGCUCUUGAGCAGUUCGCAACU